AUUAUACUCCCUCCAUCCUAAAAUUCUUGUCUUUGAUUUAUCUAAAUGUGGAUGUGUCAAGUCACGUUUUAGUAUUAGAUACAUCCAUAUCUAGGUAAAUCUAAGACAAGAAUUUUAGGAUGAAUGGAGUAAUAU
Triticum aestivum (bread wheat) is the source of this 135-nucleotide non-coding RNA. NCBI's taxonomy places the organism in Eukaryota, Viridiplantae, Streptophyta, Magnoliopsida, Poales, Poaceae. The record is from Rfam.